This 132-nucleotide ribosomal RNA is filed under the name Escherichia sp. E2562. RNAcentral's name for it is "partial 23S ribosomal RNA". It matches the Rfam family "Bacterial large subunit ribosomal RNA", at positions 2811 to 2925 of the family's 2925-position model. Lineage: Bacteria; Pseudomonadati; Pseudomonadota; Gammaproteobacteria; Enterobacterales; Enterobacteriaceae. The record is from RNAcentral.
CUCCCUGACUCUUUAAGAGUCCUGAAGGAACGUUGAAGACGACGACGUUGAUAGGCCGGGUGUGUAAGCGCAGCGAUGCGUUGAGCUAACCGGUACUAAUGAACCGUGAGGCUUAACCUUACAACGCCGAAG